AGUUUGAUCCUGGCUCAGGAUAAGUCGUAACAAGGUAACCAAUCCCGCGGCCAUGGCGGCCGCACUAGUGAUUAGAGUUUGAUCCUGGCUCAGACUCUAAGUCGUAACAAGGUAACCAAUCCCGCGGCCAUGGCGGCCGCACUAGUGAUUAGAGUUUGAUCCUGGCUCAGGAUAAGUCGUAACAAGGUAACCAAUCCUGCGGCCAUGGCGGCCGCACUAGUGAUUAGAGUUUGAUCCUGGCUCAGACUCAAGUCGUAACAAGGUAACCUCCUGGCUCAGAUUGAACGCUGGCGGCAGGCUUAACACAUGCAAGUCGAGCGGAAACGAUUCUAGCUUGCUAGAAGGCGUCGAGCGGCGGACGGGUGAGUAAUGCAUGGGAAUCUGCCCGAUAGUGGGGGACAACCUGGGGAAACUCAGGCUUAAUACCGCAUACGUCCUACGGGAGAAAGCAGGGGAUCUUCGGACCUUGCGCUAUCGGAUGAGCCCAUGUCGGAUUAGCUUGUUGGUGAGGUAAUGGCUCACCAAGGCGACGAUCCGUAGCUGGUCUGAGAGGAUGAUCAGCCACACUGGGACUGAGACACGGCCCAGACUCCUACGGGAGGCAGCAGUGGGGAAUAUUGGACAAUGGGCGAAAGCCUGAUCCAGCCAUGCCGCGUGUGUGAAGAAGGCCUUCGGGUUGUAAAGCACUUUCAGCGAGGAAGAACGCCUUGGGAUUAAUACUCCCGAGGAAAGACAUCACUCGCAGAAGAAGCACCGGCUAACUCCGUGCCAGCAGCCGCGGUAAUACGGAGGGUGCAAGCGUUAAUCGGAAUUACUGGGCGUAAAGCGCGCGUAGGUGGCUAAGUCAGCCAGGUGUGAAAGCCCCGGGCUCAACCUGGGAACGGCAUCUGGAACUGCUUGGCUAGAGUGCAGGAGAGGAAGGUAGAAUUCCCGGUGUAGCGGUGAAAUGCGUAGAGAUCGGGAGGAAUACCAGUGGCGAAGGCGGCCUUCUGGACUGACACUGACACUGAGGUGCGAAAGCGUGGGUAGCAAACAGGAUUAGAUACCCUGGUAGUCCACGCCGUAAACGAUGUCAACUAGCCGUUGGGUCCCUUGAGGACUUAGUGGCGCAGCUAACGCAAUAAGUUGACCGCCUGGGGAGUACGGCCGCAAGGUUAAAACUCAAAUGAAUUGACGGGGGCCCGCACAAGCGGUGGAGCAUGUGGUUUAAUUCGAUGCAACGCGAAGAACCUUACCUACCCUUGACAUCCAGAGGACUUUCCAGAGAUGGAUUGGUGCCUUCGGGAACUCUGAGACAGGUGCUGCAUGGCUGUCGUCAGCUCGUGUUGUGAAAUGUUGGGUUAAGUCCCGUAACGAGCGCAACCCCUAUCCUUAUUUGCCAGCGAGUAAUGUCGGGAACUCUAAGGAGACUGCCGGUGACAAACCGGAGGAAGGUGGGGACGACGUCAAGUCAUCAUGGCCCUUACGGGUAGGGCUACACACGUGCUACAAUGGCAAGUACAAAGGGUUGCAAUACUGCGAAGUGGAGCCAAUCCCAUAAAGCUUGCCUCAGUCCGGAUUGGAGUCUGCAACUCGACUCCAUGAAGUCGGAAUCGCUAGUAAUCGUGGAUCAGAAUGCCACGGUGAAUACGUUCCCGGGCCUUGUACACACCGCCCGUCACACCAUGGGAGUGGACUGCACCAGAAGUGGUUAGCCUAACCUUCGGGAGGGCGAUCACCACGGUGUGGUUCAUGACUGGGGUGAAGUCGUAACAAGGUAACC
RNAcentral lists this ribosomal RNA (1762 nucleotides) under Halomonas sp. wp29. Its description in RNAcentral is "partial 16S ribosomal RNA". The stretch from base 219 to 1762 matches the Rfam family "Bacterial small subunit ribosomal RNA". Lineage: Bacteria; Pseudomonadati; Pseudomonadota; Gammaproteobacteria; Oceanospirillales; Halomonadaceae. The record is from RNAcentral.